RNAcentral lists this ribosomal RNA (254 nucleotides) under uncultured bacterium. Its description in RNAcentral is "partial 16S ribosomal RNA". It matches the Rfam family "Bacterial small subunit ribosomal RNA", at positions 524 to 777 of the family's 1533-position model. The record is from RNAcentral.
UACGUAGGGUGCGAGCGUUAAUCGGAAUUACUGGGCGUAAAGCGUGCGCAGGCGGUUUUGUAAGCCAGAUGUGAAAUCCCCGGGCUCAACCUGGGAAUGGCAUUUGGGACUGCAAGGCUCGAGUUUGGCAGAGGAGACUGGAAUUCCUGGUGUAGCAGUGAAAUGCGUAGAUAUCAGGAGGAAUACCGAUGGCGAAGGCAGGUCUCUGGGCUGAAACUGACGCUCAUGCACGAAAGCGUGGGGAGCAAACAGGA